AUUGAACGCUGGCGGCAUGCCUUACACAUGCAAGUCGAACGGUAACGCGGGGCAACCUGGCGACGAGUGGCGAACGGGUGAGUAAUAUAUCGGAACGUGCCCAGUAGUGGGGGAUAGCCCGGCGAAAGCCGGAUUAAUACCGCAUACGACCUAAGGGUGAAAGCGGGGGAGUCGCAAGACCUCGCGCUAUUGGAGCGGCCGAUAUCAGAUUAGGUAGUUGGUGGGGUAAAGGCCUACCAAGCCGACGAUCUGUAGCUGGUCUGAGAGGACGACCAGCCACACUGGGACUGAGACACGGCCCAGACUCCUACGGGAGGCAGCAGUGGGGAAUUUUGGACAAUGGGCGCAAGCCUGAUCCAGCCAUGCCGCGUGC
RNAcentral lists this ribosomal RNA (373 nucleotides) under uncultured bacterium. RNAcentral's name for it is "bacterial SSU rRNA". It matches the Rfam family "Bacterial small subunit ribosomal RNA", at positions 29 to 404 of the family's 1533-position model. The record is from RNAcentral.